Molecule: long non-coding RNA, 740 nt
Organism: Papaver somniferum (opium poppy)
Lineage: Eukaryota; Viridiplantae; Streptophyta; Magnoliopsida; Ranunculales; Papaveraceae
Exons: 2
Source: RefSeq, a predicted model, not a curated record
UAUUUUGUUACGCACCACAAAAAUAGCUUACCACUGGCUUGGCAUAGACACCGGAUUACUUGCCAUAAGUCCAUAGAGCGAUGUCGGUUCCAUUCUAGUUAACACCCCAGAAGCAGAAGAUAAGUUCUUAGUUCAUCUCUUCACCCCGCCGUCCGUUUUUUUUCCUCCGGAACCCUAACUACCCACCCAAGAGGAAAAUGUAGAUUAGAAGAAGAAGACAGUAUCGAACAAAAGAGGAGAUCGGAGAAGAAGAAAUAUCAAAUUAAAGUAAGUUUCAAAUCCCUUUUCAUCUUUGAUUUUUUUUCCUCUCUCUUAAGCUUAAGAAUCGAUGAUUGUAAAGAUUUUGGUUUCAUAAUUUGGUUCUGCAACUGGUCUGUUGAUUUGAUAAGAGUAUGACAUAUGGAUUUCCUUUAUUGUAAUAAUAUUUCUUUCCAAACUUCGAUCAUGAAAUUGUCCUGUUCCUUAGUAGGUUUUAUAGGUUUAUGUCAUCAGAUUGAUUAGUUCUUUGUUAAUAUGGUCAUGUGUUGUUUCUUCUCUCUGAGUAUAAGAUUGAUCUGGUGAGUAUUUAUCCUAGACGUAUUUCGAUACAAUUAUCUAGUAUAUGCGGUUUGAGCUUAAUCUCCACUACUUGGAAUCCUACUGCUUGCCGUCUGUUUGCUAAGACAGGCCAAAACUCAAAAUUGUGGGUGUUGGGGGAAGGUGAAAAGGAACGUGCCUCAAAGGUCUUGAAAAUUGCUUAA